Long non-coding RNA from Monopterus albus (swamp eel), 1290 nucleotides. RefSeq lists it as uncharacterized. NCBI's taxonomy places the organism in Eukaryota, Metazoa, Chordata, Actinopteri, Synbranchiformes, Synbranchidae. The record is from RefSeq and is a predicted model, not a curated record. The transcript is spliced from 4 exons.
UUUCACAUGGGACAAUUACAGAAGGAAAACAGAAAGUAUGAGAUCGAUGAAGGGAGGAGACACAGUGUUUCUGUGAAGUCAUGUGACCACAGAGCGCCCUUCCUCCUGCUGAUAUGAAACCUGUGAACACUGAUCCUCUCUGCUCUCUCUGUCCUCAGAAUCACUGAGCCGCCUGAAGCCGACGACACAGAGACGGUGAUUCUGUUCCCUAUCUUUCAUUGACGACCACUGACUGAACUGUUCGCCGCCCGGCCGCAAACGUCACCUUCUUCACCUGUGGAGCUGCAAAGUGAACAGCGAGGACUGAGCGCGCUCAGUGCUGCUCUGCUCAGCCCCGGCCAACUCCUGCAAACAGACCCGUCCUGAUAAACGGCAGCAGCCUCUAGUACCUGUUCAACUUCUCUGCAGACUUUGGACUAAGCUUCCUUCAAAUGGGCCAGAAACACAGCAAAAGACAUAGCAGUAAAUAUCCUCCUAGUUUUUCUAAAAAAGAUGCAGCUUUAUUCAUCAGGCAUUUUGACCAAGAUGGACCCAGGAUGGAACGGAUCAUAUAUGAGCUUCAAAAGAUCUCUGUUGACAAAAUAAACAUAACAGACAAAUCCAAAGCAACAACAACGCUAGGAGCUGUUAUUACGGGAACCGGAGCUGUAUUGGCACUGGGUGCAGCUCCGUUCACUGGAGGCUUGAGUUUAGCAAUAGCUGGAAUUGGAGCAGCAAGUUCUGUUGCUGGAGGUCUCACUAUUGCUGGAGGCUCCAUAAACGAGAAAACAAUGUUAGAAGAAUGUCGAAGGAAUGUGGACAAAUUAACAACAGAGUUCAGGACAAUUGUUGAGUCACUGAGGAUAGUGCUGACAAAUCUAAAGACCGUGUGUGGAGAACCAAGAACAUUUUCAGCUACAGACAGUUUGACAGAUGUUAUUAAUGAGUAUAAAAUGGUUUUGGAAGAGUUUAAAAGAAUGAAAGUAGAGCUCCAAAGAAUUUGAGGUUUGUUUAAUGAAACAGCACAUCUCUGGUGUGUGUGUCAGUUGGAAGGAGGCUGUGGUGUGUGUGUGUGUGUAUGUAUUUACCAAGAACACUGUGUUUUCAUAACCUUCUAACUUGUACAGUCGUGGUUCAUGGAUGUGUCGGGGUAGUUCUUGACAAAGUGUCUACAGUUUGGUUUGAAGUUCAUGUUUUCUCUUCUUAUAAAUGUAGGAUUUCCACAAUGUUAUCAUCUGGCUUAACUUAACCCAUGACAGUAUGACUGGUCAAUAACCCUCAGUGAAAUACCUGUAAAUAUACCUUGUACAU